This is an RNA transcript of Pieris brassicae (large cabbage white), 6483 nucleotides long. It is a transcript of the gene named cilia- and flagella-associated protein 44, with no coding region annotated. The record is from RefSeq and is a predicted model, not a curated record. NCBI's taxonomy places the organism in Eukaryota, Metazoa, Arthropoda, Insecta, Lepidoptera, Pieridae. The transcript has 42 exons.
CAUUUUGUUAUAAUGAGAAUUGAUUCUUAACAUGGGCGAUGGAUUCGUAAUUUAAUUUAAAUUGAUUACUUGUACACUCACAAUAUUAUAAUAAUAUGGCUGAUGAUGAGGACCACAAGGGUGAACAUGGAGAAGAAGAAGAAGAAGAGGCCAACGAAGAAGCUAUAAUAGAGGAAGUGGAAGAGGAAGCAGUAGAAGAAGAAUCAAUAUUAACUGAAUAUGACCCUGAUGACUUUAUAUCCGGUGCUGUUACUAGCCUUGAUGCUACUUUACCGGACGACUUAUUUGAAUUUGAACAUUCCUAUGGUUAUAACUGCCAUAAAUACUUCAACUUGUGCGCAUGCGAUGAUUCUGUUGUAUGCUGGUCUGCGGGCAGUAUUAUAACGUUUAUGGAUGUUAACACCAAACAGACAUGGUUUCGACGGAGCACAACUGGGGGAUCCAUUGGAAAUAUUGUGUCAUACAGAAAAGACCCGAAUUAUCGAAUAGCAAUCGCUGAAGGAAAGGAGGGACACAGAGAUCCUCUUAUUUUGAUGUACACGUGGCCACAAAUGGAAAUUGAUGCCGUUCUACGGGACGGAACAAGCAAUGCAUAUUCCAUUCUUGACUUUAGUCCUGAUGGAGAACUUUUGGCAUCGGUGGGAAAAGAACCAGAUUAUAACUUGACUAUAUGGAAUUGGAAACGCCAUAGAAUUCUUCUACGCACUAGUGCUUUUACAUUUGACGUCAACACUGUUAUGUUCUCGCCUUAUUGUCCUGGACAACUGACAACCGCUGGAGCUGCGCAUGUUAAGUUUUGGAAAAUGGCUAGUACCUUCACAGGUCUUAAGUUAAAAGGAGAACUUGGACGAUUCGGGAAAACGGAAAUUUGCGAUGUGCUCGGCGUAUAUCCUAUGCCUGAUGAAAAGGUUUUGUCGGGCUGCGAAUGGGGUAACGUUUUAGUAUGGGAGGCUGGACUUGUCAAAUUGGAAGUUACGCAACGAGGACGUAAAACAUGUCACAAGGCACCUGUGAUUCAAUUCAUGCUAAGUCCCGCGGGUGAUGAAGUGACAACUGUAGCGCGCGAUGGCUGCGUUCGUGCCUGGUACUGGGAUACCGUGGAACAAGCUGAUCCUCCAGAGGACGACCCUUUUGUUGAACUCAAUCCCGUCGCUGAAACUUGUGUCCCAGGCUGUCAAAUAAUGUGCCUAAAACAUCAGAAGGACAUGUUUUGGUACGCACAAGAUGGAAAUGGUGGACUCUGGAGCUUAGAGUUAGAAAUAGAUAAAAUCGAAUGUAACCAUCGUAAAGUUAUGACUUGUCACGCGGGUCCUGUCGUCGCUAUGGCCAUUCUCAGGACACACCCCAUAUUAGUAACUGCAGGGCAGGAUGGCGCCCUCCAAGCAUAUAACACAGAUACACAUGCACUACUAGCGAGGUAUCAGUUUCAGGCUAGUGUAACAUGUCUGCUGUAUCCACCAAUCGACGUGGAUGAAACCUCUUGCAUUAUAAUCGUAGGCUUUGGUGAUGGUAUUAUGCGAGUCUUGUAUAUUCAUCCAGAUCUCCUUUUGGCCCAGACCACGUUGGUUGAAGUGAGGGUUCACUCGGCCCUAACCAUUCACAGCGAGGACUCCAUUCAUGCCGAUGUUCUUGACUUAAUAUGUUUACUAAAGCCCCACUCAAAGUCACUCACGCAGAUAACAAUUAAUGAGCAGCGAUCAUUGUUAGUAACGUGUGGGGCAGACAGCACUAUAUUUAUGUAUCGCCUCAUAGUUGAUACGCCAUUUAGACUUCAUAGACUUGGAUUUAUUGAAACACCAAAUAAUAUUGCAUAUAUGACUUGGAAACCUGAAGAGGAACGUGUGCUACUUUUGUGCGGUCAAGUAGGCUUUAUAAUGGAAGCUGUGUUACCAGAUGUGUCAAUUCGUGACUAUACAGAUAUAACAACAUUCAAACUAGAUUUUGUAUCGUAUAAGGAAACGCUUGUUAAGAAACAUUAUAUGCGUAACCGACCAUUUCCAACUGAAGAAGAUUUAGCCAGUAUAGAUGAGGAAGCACUAAAAGCUAAAGAAGAAGCGGAAAGAGAAAAAGAUGAAGAUGAAGAGGAAGAGUGGCUUGGAGAGAUACAAUUGAUCGAAAGUGAAAGUAUGCUUGGGACUACGAUAACAUGGGCUGAAUAUUGCGAAGAGGGAAUCUGGGUUGUUCAGCGAGGUACCGGAGCGCUCUUCUUGAUUAAGCCAGGGCAGAAUAAAAUAUUUAAAUAUGGUCCGAUACCUGGAGCGUGGUGUGAUGAUAUCACUUCACUCAAGUUUGUGUGUGACCAUCGGUAUUUAAUCGUGGGAACUAACACUGGCUAUAUCCGCAUGGUCCGUAUGCCUACUGAAGAUGAAGACAAUCCUGAACAGCAUCACGUAAUCUGGAUGAUGGCCCAGCAAAAGUUGCUUAAGAAACUAAAAGGUCGCCGAUUAGCUAAAGAAGAGCCCCAGCCAACACCUCGUAUCGAUUUUGAUGACCGAUAUUAUUUGCCCAUGCAUGACCACUAUACGGGAGCAAUCACCGCCUUAGAAUUUAGUGGUGAUGGAAAGCGAUUUUACACUAGCGGGGAGGAUGGUAAUAUUUUUUCCUAUUUUGUGAACUUUACGGAGCCGCUUGUACCAAAACCAACUAAAGUAAAACUCAAGGAACUUCCGAAAGUAGAAAAAGCAAGAGAACCCAGUACAUUGGACGGGGAGUUAAUGUCCCAUGAAGAAUUGAAACAGAAAGAGGAGUAUGACAAGAUGAUGUCCAUAGCUAAUGCGCAUAAGAAGCGAGUACGAGACCAACUAGCUGAGCUUACAGCUGAAUACAGCAAGAUUAUUAAAGCAAACCGGGCUUUACCAUAUUCACAACAGAUCGAUGUAACUCUCGAUCCUCGACCCCUACAAGUCCAAGAGAGAGAACUGGAUCAACUCAAAGCUUUGACAAACCGAAAGCUCGCACACCAACUUGAGGCAUCUGAUCUUGGAUAUCAUAAGAUGUAUACAAGGAACAUUAUUCAGUUAGAUGUGUAUCCGUUUACGUUGAAAUGUAUAAGAGACCCGGAAGUAAUGAUAAGACCUUUACGACAAAAGAAUCUCUCGAAAACUUUUUACAACCAAUUAGAAGAAGUGCAUCAGAAAAUGGCGGAGGCCGCUUUACGUGGAAGACGAACUGAUACGACAGCCCGAAGAGCAGCCGCAAGAAAGUCUUCCUGGGGCCCGCCGCGAAUCGCAUCGUUUCUUCUUGGUCUACCCCCAAAACCAUCUCAUCCAUUGAAGAAGGCGCUACGCAAUUAUCAUCAGAGAUUGAAUAGACAUCACCUACAAUUUAUUGAGUGGCAAGAGCAUGUAUCUCGUAAACCAGACCCAAAUGCAAUGCCCCCGGGUGCUGCUGAAGCUCUUAAAGACGCUGAGGCCUCGAUUGGUAAUCGAUUACUGAAGACACAACCGGAUUAUGUAGCACCGCCUGGUCAUAAUACGCAACUCCGAGUUUGCUUUGCAAGAAAAGAGAUCUACGACACAAAACGAGCGUUUAACGAAAAAAUACUUCAACUAAGGGAGCACAAAGUAAAACUUGUAGCACGAAUGAAAGAGAUAGGCGAGCGCUUAGCAGAAAUACGGGUUGAGAUUCCACCGAAGUUGGUGAAACCUCCCCCACCAAUACCGGAAAUUGAUGACGACUUGGAGUUUCCAGAAAAAAACUUAGAGAUCAAACCCGUUGUGAUCCAACCUUCGGCAAGACAAGCGAUGGCUGCACGAAAAACAAUGGAGCGACGCAAAUCGACAUUGUAUCCUCAGCAAAGAGUUAGACAGCCACGGGUACCGCGCUUCGUACCGCUCUCUGACUCCAGGCCUCUUGCUGCAUCGUGGGAAAUUUUAAAAUUCAAACAGGAUCAAGAAUCUUUUCCCAUUGAAGCCGAAAUACGUGAGCGGCGUAUAGAAAGACAUUUAUAUGAACAAGAUAUGCUUUUGGCUGAUGCUGAAGUGUCAGUUCAACAGUUUGACUCGAGGCUAAGACAACUGCAAAGGGAACGUAUACGCGUACAGGAGAAAAACCAACUGUUAGAGUUACACCUAUAUCAGCUUCAUAGAGAAAUGAAUGUUUUAAAUCGAUUCGAGGCUCAUGAAGAUCGCUUGGCUGAAAGGGUGUAUGCAAAAUUAAUGCAGGUUCGUGGAGUACAAGAUCAAAUUCAAGAUUGCGAGCAUCGCAUCGACGAACAUCACGCUGAAAAGGAACGACUCGACGCAGCUUGCCAAGAACUACAAAGACAGUUCAAGAGGCUCGUACAAGAUAAUAAGUUUGCCGAUUUCUUGCGAAGAAUAUUUAAGAAGAAAUACCGUCCGCCGCGUGACCGAGAUGACGAUGAAUCAUCAGAGUCUGAAUCUUCAUCAUCAUCAAGCGAGGAAGAAGAUGAAGGGAGCAUGGACAGUCGAGACAUUGGUCCAAUACGACUCGAUCCUAAUAUUUGUCCUGAAGGGUGUGACGUUGAUAUUUAUAACAAAACUUAUGACUUAAGAAAUACAAGGCAUAAACAUGAGCAAGACAUCAUAGAGCAGGAUCGGUUUAUUGAGCUUUUACGUAAAGAUAUUGAUGCGCAUAAUAAAAUCAAGCGCAAAUUUUCCGUGCAGUUGGAAAAGAGGAAAAAUGAUCUUCGGGAGUUUAUGAUGGAAAAACAAAGUUGUAUGAAUGAAGUUGAUCAAGUUGUUGUGUUACGGUAUGAUCAAAUCAGGGCUUCGGCGAUUCGUGGAUGUACUGGACCUCAAGGGUUAUCACAAACUGUUGUCUUCCCUGAAAAGAUGUUGGCUAAGUUGCGCAAUCGCGUCCUGGAGUUGCACGACGAAAUCAAACAGCAGAAACAGAGACAAAAGGUUAACCGCACACAUCUGUUCCGAAUGAAUAUUGAUUUACGUGAAAUGGAGGCAAAGGCUGAGGAAUUGAGAGCGAAAAUGCGUGACAUUCUUACACGGAAGCUCGGGAAGCCACGUAAAGUCGACCGUACACUGGACGAUUUAUUACGACAAAUGGCGCGCAGACAUAAAUUCUCUACCACUUUGGGUACUCUGCAACAGAUAUUAAAACAGCUACGUAGUUGGAGGGAACGCCACGGAGAGCUGGAGAAGAAGUACCUCUCUACUCUGGAUGGUUAUUCGGAGCGUUUGCGUCUUGCGGCAGCGUUGCAGGCUGAUGUUUUGCCGCAAAAGCCCAAAAAAGAUCCCUCGGUAAUGGUAGGAGGCUACGAGCAAGAGCAAUACCAGCGCGAUGUCGUACGCCUACGUAUCGUGCGCUCACAACAGACUCAUCAAAUUAAGUCUCUACGUGAAGAAAUACAGAGUCUUCGUCUUAAACCUUUGUCAUACCGACCACCGAUGCAACAAGUGACUCCGCCUGAGUCCGACCGCUCACAAAUCUACCUCUUCCAAGUCCCGCACACUUCUCGGAUGGUGCGGAAAAAAUAUUUCCCAAUAACACCUCUUGGAUCCGUUCACCUGGUAUAUGAUGUCAACGUUAUGAAACUAUUAUAUGACUGCUUGGAUUCGAUGAGGGUUACCCGUGAUGAUGCUGAUGAAUUGCUUCGUGAGCUCACUGCUGAACUGCCAGAUGUUAUUUCUGGAGCAAAAUCUCGAUUUGAAGUUGUGGACAUGUUAGUGCGCAAAUGGCUGUUGAAAUAUGGCGGUGAUCCGAGUAUGUACAAGAAACAAACGCGGGCCUUCGAUGCUCUAGCUGCAUUGGCUGAUCGUCUCAUACGGCAACACGUCGAGGCAAUGGAAGGAACAAAUGAGCAAUCGCACAAAAUCAUGGAAUCCUUGGAACAGGCUCUCAAAGAUGUUUCCGGGUUAAGGAAGCAUCUGAAUGAGCGUCUCGGGCCGGCCAUAGCUGCGUUGCUGCAUACUUCUGAAUUUGCUGAUAUAGUUACUGACGAAACAAUGACGUCAUUGGUAAACUCUUUGGUCGAUGAAGAAAACCCCAUAUCAGCUCAAUCUUUGGAGAAUAUCGACAUGUUUAGUGUGAUCGAAGAUAUCAAAGUAGCUGAGUUUUGUUCCGUCCUCCGCCCCUGGAUGCAGCUCAUUUCUUGCUAGUGUGCGCUAGUCACUUGCAUGUGGUGAUUCGUAACGCCGUGUACCAUCGAGCGACGUUUUGCUGAUCUCGCGUGUGUCGACAUGGAUCGGGAUCGAAGUGAUGAACGCAUUUUGGGGUGGUUGAUGUUGAAGAUGAUUCGGAAAAAUACAGCCACAUAUGAAAGAAGAAUCACCUUGCAAAACAUUUUAUAUCCGCAAGCAUCAAGGGGUACAGCAAGGGAUAACAUGUUUUGUACCAGAAUCUGAGUUACCAGGAGAAGAAAAAUCAAAUUGAAUCUGCGCGGAUUGCCUUAAACGCAAAAAGCAAAAUUUACUGCCAAAUAAUUUUAUGUACUAAGCAUAGUCGUGCAUUAUGUGAUAUGUGUAAAGCUCGCAUACUUGAUGAAUAUUAUUUAUUGCUACUUUUUCA